UGGGGAAUAUUGGACAAUGGGCGCAAGCCUGAUCCAGCAAUACCGCGUGUGUGAAGAAGGCCUUCGGGUUGUAAAGCACUUUCAGUAGCUAAGAAAUACUCAAAACUAAUACCUUUGAGAGUUGACGUAAACUACAGAAGAAGCACCGGCUAACUCUGUGCCAGCAGCCGCGGUAAUACAGAGGGUGCAAGCGUUAAUCGGAAUUACUGGGCGUAAAGCGCACGUAGGUGGGUGCUUAAGUCGAAUGUGAAACCCCCGAGCUUAACUUGGGAACUGCAUGCGAUACUGAACACCUAGAGUAUAGUAGAGGGAAGUGGAAUUUCCGGAGUAGCGGUGAAAUGCGUAGAUAUCGGAAGGAACACCAGUGGCGAAGGCGGCUUCCUGGGCUAAUACUGACACUGAGGUGCGAAAGCGUGGGGAGCAAACAGGAUUAGAUACCCCCGUAGUCC
Molecule: ribosomal RNA, 449 nt
Filed under: uncultured bacterium
Lineage: Bacteria
Description: bacterial SSU rRNA
Rfam family: Bacterial small subunit ribosomal RNA
Source: RNAcentral